This 496-nucleotide ribosomal RNA is filed under the name uncultured bacterium. RNAcentral describes it as "partial 16S ribosomal RNA". It matches the Rfam family "Bacterial small subunit ribosomal RNA", at positions 28 to 506 of the family's 1533-position model. The record is from RNAcentral.
GAUGAACGCUGGCGGCGUGCCUAAUACAUGCCAGUCGAGCGAACGGACGAGAAGCUUGCUUCUCUGAUGUUAGCGGCGGACGGGUGAGUAACACGUGGAUAACCUACCUAUAAGACUGGGAUAACUUCGGGAAACCGGAGCUAAUACCGGAUAAUAUUUUGAACCGCAUGGUUCAAAAGUGAAAGACGGUCUUGCUGUCACUUAUAGAUGGAUCCGCGCUGCAUUAGCUAGUUGGUAAGGUAACGGCUUACCAAGGCAACGAUGCAUAGCCGACCUGAGAGGGUGAUCGGCCACACUGGAACUGAGACACGGUCCAGACUCCUACGGGAGGCAGCAGUAGGGAAUCUUCCGCAAUGGGCGAAAGCCUGACGGAGCAACGCCGCGUGAGUGAUGAAGGUCUUCGGAUCGUAAAACUCUGUUAUUAGGGAAGAACAUAUGUGUAAGUAACUGUGCACAUCUGGACGGUACCUAAUCAGAAAGCCACGGCUAACUACGU